AAGGCGAUGAUGCAUAGCCGAGUUGAGAGACUGAUCGGCCACAUUGGGACUGAGACACGGCCCAAACUCCUACGGAGGGCAGCAGUAGGGAAUCUUCCACAAUGGACGCAAGUCUGAUGGAGCAACGCCGCGUGAGUGAAGAAGGGUUUCGGCUCGUAAAGCUCUGUUGUUGGUGAAGAAGGACAGGGGUAGUAACUGAAACCUUUGUUUGACGGUAAUCAAUUAGAAAGUCACGGCUAACUACGUGCCAGCAGCCGCGGUAAAU
RNAcentral lists this ribosomal RNA (265 nucleotides) under uncultured Lactobacillus sp. Its description in RNAcentral is "partial 16S ribosomal RNA". It matches the Rfam family "Bacterial small subunit ribosomal RNA", at positions 270 to 525 of the family's 1533-position model. The record is from RNAcentral. Lineage: Bacteria; Bacillati; Bacillota; Bacilli; Lactobacillales; Lactobacillaceae.